AGAGUGAACGCUGGCGGCAGGCCUAAUACAUGCAAGUCGAACGGCAGCACGGCAGAGCUUGCUCUGUGGGUGGCGAGUGGCGGACGGGUGAGGAAUACAUGGGAAUCUGCCCAGUCGUGGGGGAUAACGUAUGGAAACGUACGCUAAUACCGCAUGCGCCCGUUCGGGGGAAAGCCGGGGACCUUCGGGCCUGGCGCGAUUA
This 202-nucleotide ribosomal RNA is filed under the name uncultured soil bacterium. RNAcentral describes it as "partial 16S ribosomal RNA". It matches the Rfam family "Bacterial small subunit ribosomal RNA", at positions 26 to 223 of the family's 1533-position model. The record is from RNAcentral.